RNAcentral lists this ribosomal RNA (451 nucleotides) under uncultured bacterium. RNAcentral's name for it is "partial 16S ribosomal RNA". It matches the Rfam family "Bacterial small subunit ribosomal RNA", at positions 28 to 523 of the family's 1533-position model. The record is from RNAcentral.
GAUGAACGCUAGCGGUGCGCCUAACACAUGCAAGUCGAGCGAGUCCGCAAGGACGAGCGGCGAACGGGUGCGUAACACGUUGGAACCUGCCCCGAACUCAGGGAUAACCCGCCGAAAGGCGGGCUAAUACCGGAUAGUCCCGAAAGGGUAAAGAUUUUUCGGUUCGGGAGGGGCCUGCGGAGUAUCAGCUAGUUGGUAGGGUAACGGCCUACCAAGGCUACGACGCUUAGCUGAUCUGAGAGGAUGAUCAGCCACAAUGGAACUGAGACACGGUCCAUACUCCUACGGGAGGCAGCAGUGAGGAAUCUUCCGCAAUGGGCGAAAGCCUGACGGAGCGACACCGCGUGGAGGACGAAGGCCUUUUGGUUGUAAACUCCUUUUCUGAGGGAAUAAAUGAUGAAGUUACCUCAGGAAUAAGCACCGGCUAACUACGUGCCAGCAGCCGCAGUAA